AGCUACCCAACUGAGUAUGCAGCGUAUCUCUGUCGAGUUCAAUCCGGCUCUCACAAGCCCAAGUCAAAUAACCGAAUCUAACUGGUUUAACAAUCAACAGAUCAUGUGCCCUCAGCACAAUCCGAUGCCAAAACGGCGACAUGGGUCCACCGUCAACCCUGACGGUCCCCAACAGUCCGGAACAGUCUGAAUUCUACUGUAAAAAUACAUUCGGUAUCCCAGCACGAGCGUAACAGAAAUCUAAACUAUCUAGGGUAUC
Molecule: long non-coding RNA, 259 nt
Filed under: Ananas comosus (pineapple)
Lineage: Eukaryota; Viridiplantae; Streptophyta; Magnoliopsida; Poales; Bromeliaceae
Description: long non-coding RNA (ACOM_LNC006694)
Source: RNAcentral